RNAcentral lists this ribosomal RNA (1704 nucleotides) under Triticum aestivum (bread wheat). Its description in RNAcentral is "partial small subunit ribosomal RNA". Lineage: Eukaryota; Viridiplantae; Streptophyta; Magnoliopsida; Poales; Poaceae. The record is from RNAcentral.
AUGGCGGCGACGUCGUAUUCGUCGUCUUCAUCGGCGGCGGGGGCUGGUGGCGGCGGCGCCGCGGCGGCGACGGCGGCCGGGCUCAAGACCUACUUCAAGACGCCCGAGGGGAGGUACAAGCUGCAGUACGAGAAAGCUCACUCCGCCGCUGUCCUUCACUACAACCACGGCGGGAAGACCGUCUCGCAGUUGACGGUGGCAUACCUGAAGGAGAGGUUGACUGGCCAAGGCUCCACACCAUCAACACCAAGCUCCAGCAGUGGGAUGCGAUCGGCGGCAGCAAGGCUGCUGGGUACCGGGAAUGGUAGCCGCGCACUUAGCUUUGUUGGGGGCAAUGGUGUCAGUCGUGCUGUGUCUGAAAGCAACCGUGUGGGAGGAACCCUUGGUACAUCUACAAGCCUUGGAGGAUCUCAAGCUGUAGCAAACUACGAUGGCAAGGGUGCAUACAUCAUCUACAAUUCUGCGGAUACACUAUUCAUCAGUGACCUUAAUUCCCAGGACAAGGAUCCGCUGAAGUCCAUCCAUUUUAGCAACUCUAACCCAUUGUGCCACGCAUUUGACUCGGAGGCCAAGGAGGGGCAUGACUUAAUCAUUGGGAUGGGAUCAGGGGAUGUUUAUUCAAUGUCGCUGAGGCAACAGCUACAAGAACCUGGAAGGAAGCCUGUUGCAGCCCAACAUUAUAAUAGGGGUGAUAAAGAUGGAAUGAGCAUCAGCAGCCGUUGCACUUCUGUUGCAUGGGUUCCGGAGUGUGAAGGCAUGUUUGUUGUUAGCCACUCUGAUGGAAAUUUGUAUGUGUAUGAUAAAUGCAGAGAUGGAAACACGGAGUGUACAUUUCCAGCUAUAAAGGAUCCAGCUCAGUUGAUGGUUUCACAUGCAAAGUCGAGUAAGAGUAACCCAAUUGCCAGGUGGCAUGUUUGUCAUGGUUCAAUCAAUGCAAUUUCCUUCUCUCCAGAUGGGGCAUACUUGGCGACGGUUGGGCGAGAUGGUUAUUUGAGAGUGUUUGACUUUUCAAAGGAACAGCUAAUAUUUGGUGGCAAAAGUUAUUAUGGCGCUCUCUUGUGUUGCACCUGGAGCUCGGAUGGCAAAUAUCUAUUGACAGGUGGUGAAGAUGAUCUUGUGCAGGUAUGGAGCAUGGACGACAGGAAGACUGUUGCAUGGGGUGAAGGGCAUAAUUCUUGGGUUAGUGGAGUUGCUUUUGAUCCAUAUUGGUCCCCACCAAAUGCUGAUGGAACGGGAGAAAAUGCGGUGUAUCGUUUUGGUUCUGUUGGUCAGGAUACCCAAUUGCUUCUGUGGGAUUUGGCAAUGGAUGAGAUUGUUGUCCCACUACGUCAUCCUUCAGGUGGUUCGCCAACAUUUAGCAGUGGGAGCCCUUCUGCACACUGGGACAGUGCAUGCCCUCCAACAGGUAUUCUUCAACCUUCUCCCAGAAUGCGGGACGUGCCGAAGCUUUCACCUCUUGUCGCCCACCGAGUACAUGCGGAUCCCCUGUCUGGUGUGGUGUUCAGCACUGAAUCAAUCGUCACCAUUUGCCGCGAGGGACUAAUCAAAAUAUGGGCCAGACCUGGCCACAGUGAAAACAAUCAACAGUCAAAUUCUUCCGAGUUUGCUUUAAGCAAUACUGUCUCCAAGGAUAGGGCAAUCACAUCCUUCAGUAAAGCAAGUGUCUCUAGCUUCAAGCAACCUUCAUCGCUUGGCUUGACAUAG